This 274-nucleotide ribosomal RNA is filed under the name uncultured bacterium. RNAcentral's name for it is "partial 16S ribosomal RNA". It matches the Rfam family "Bacterial small subunit ribosomal RNA", at positions 523 to 796 of the family's 1533-position model. The record is from RNAcentral.
AUACGGAGGGGGUUAGCGUUGUUCGGAAUUACUGGGCGUAAAGCGCACGUAGGCGGAUUGGAAAGUUGGGGGUGAAAUCCCAGGGCUCAACCCUGGAACUGCCUCCAAAACUAACAGUCUAGAGUUCGAGAGAGGUGAGUGGAAUUCCAAGUGUAGGGGUGAAAUUCGUAGAUAUUUGGAGGAACACCAGUGGCGAAGGCGGCUCACUGGCUCGAUACUGACGCUGAGGUGCGAAAGCGUGGGGAGCGAACAGGAUUAGAAACCAGAGUAGUCC